UACAUGUGGGGCAAGCGUUGUUCGGAAUUACUGGGCAUAAAGGGUGCGUAGGUGGUUUGGUAAGUCAGUGGUGAAAUCGUCCGGCCCAACCGGACACGUGCCAAUGAUACUGCCGAACUCGAGUGCGUGAGGGGUGGGGGGAACGAGCAGUGUAGCGGUGAAAUGCGUAGAUAUUGUGAGGAACACUAGUGGCGAAGGCGAAUCUCUGGACAGUUCCUGACGCUGAGGAGCGAAAGCGUGGGGAGCGAACAGG
Molecule: ribosomal RNA, 253 nt
Filed under: uncultured bacterium
Lineage: Bacteria
Description: partial 16S ribosomal RNA
Rfam family: Bacterial small subunit ribosomal RNA
Source: RNAcentral